CGAACGGGUGAGUAACACAUCGGAACGUACCCAGGAGUGGGGGGACAACCUCGAGAAAUCGAGGCUAAUACCGCAUACGUCCUGAGGGAGAAAGCGGGGGAUUCGCAAGGACCUCGCGCUCAUGGAUCGGCCGAUGCCGGAUUAGCUAGUUGGUGAGGUAAUAGCCCACCAAGGCUACGAUCCGUAGCUGGUUUGAGAGAACGACCAGCCACACUGGGACUGAGACACGGCCCAG
This 235-nucleotide ribosomal RNA is filed under the name uncultured bacterium. RNAcentral describes it as "partial 16S ribosomal RNA". It matches the Rfam family "Bacterial small subunit ribosomal RNA", at positions 99 to 334 of the family's 1533-position model. The record is from RNAcentral.